Molecule: ribosomal RNA, 1063 nt
Filed under: uncultured archaeon
Lineage: Archaea
Description: bacterial SSU rRNA
Rfam family: Archaeal small subunit ribosomal RNA
Source: RNAcentral
GAGUCCUGGAAUGGUUCCUCACUUAAAGAGAUCUUAGGGGGUUACUGCCUAAGAUCUGCCCGAGGAUGGGGCUACGGCCCAUCAUGGUAGUUGGCGGGGUAAUGGCCCGCCAAGCCUACGACGGGUAGGGGCCCUGGGAGGGGGAGCCCCCAGAUGGACCCUGAGACAAGGGUCCAGGCCCUACGGGGCGCACCAGGCGCGAAACCUCUGCAAUGCGGGAAACCGUGACAGGGUUACCCCAAGUGCUCCCGUUAAGGGAGCUUUUCCUCGCUGUAAGGGGGCGAGGGAAUAAGCGGGGGGCAAGACUGGUGUCAGCCGCCGCGGUAAUACCAGCCCCGCGAGUGGUCAGGACGAUUACUGGGCCUAAAGCGCCCGUAGCCGGUCUAGCAAGUCCUCUCUGAAAGCUCCGGGCCUAACCCGGAGAGCGGAGAGGAUACUGCUAGGCUAGGGGGCGGGAAAGGCCGGGGGUACUCCUAGGGUAGGGGCGAAAUCCGAUAAUCCUAGGAGGACCACCAGUGGCGAAGGCGCCCGGCUGGAACGCGCCCGACGGUGAGGGGCGAAAGCUGGGGGAGCGAACCGGAUUAGAUACCCGGGUAGUCCCAGCUGUAAACGAUGCAGGCUAGGUGUUAGAUGGGCGUUAGUGCCCAUCCAGUGCCGCAGGGAAGCCGUUAAGCCUGCCGCCUGGGGAGUACGGCCACAAGGCUGAAACUUAAAGGAAUUGGCGGGGGGGCACACAAGGGGUGGAGCCUGCGGCUCAAUUGGAGUCAACGCCGGGAACCUCCACCGGGAGCGACAGCAGGAUGACGGCCAGGCUAACGACCUUGCCUGACACGCUGAGGGGAGGUGCACGGCCGUCGCCAGCUCGUGCUGUGAAGUGUCCUGUUAAGUCAGGCAACGAGCGAGACCCCCGCUCUUAGUUGCUAUCCCAUAGGAGACUAUGGGGGCACACUAAGAGGACUGCCGCCGCUAAGACGGAGGAAGGAGGGGGCCACGGCAGGUCAGCAUGCCCCUAAACUCCCGGGCUGCACGCGGGCUACAAUGACGGGGACAGCGGGUUCCGACC